This 279-nucleotide ribosomal RNA is filed under the name uncultured bacterium. Its description in RNAcentral is "partial 16S ribosomal RNA". It matches the Rfam family "Bacterial small subunit ribosomal RNA", at positions 506 to 784 of the family's 1533-position model. The record is from RNAcentral.
UGCCAGCCGCCGCGGUAAUACGGAGGGUGCAAGCGUUAAUCGGAAUCACUGGGCGUAAAGCGCGCGUAGGCGGUUGUGUAAGUCGGAUGUGAAAGCCCAGGGCUUAACCUUGGAGUUGCAUUUCAAACUGGAUGGCUAGAGUACGGCAGAGGUAAGUGGAAUUUCCGGUGUAGCGGUGAAAUGCGUAGAUAUCGGAAAGAACAUCAGUGGCGAAGGCGACUUACUGGGCUGAUACUGACACUGAGGCGCGAAAGCGUGGGGAGCAAACAGGAUUAGAUA